ACAACAUUCGGACCGUCAGUCUACCGAGCUAUAUCACCCGCUCGGUGGAAGAUCUUCGUAUAUAUA
RNAcentral lists this microRNA precursor (66 nucleotides) under Bombyx mori (domestic silkworm). RNAcentral's name for it is "mir-2774 microRNA precursor family". It matches the Rfam family "mir-2774 microRNA precursor family". Lineage: Eukaryota; Metazoa; Arthropoda; Insecta; Lepidoptera; Bombycidae. The record is from Rfam by way of RNAcentral.